AAUCAACGCUGGCGGCGUGCCUAACACAUGCAAGUCGCGCGCGAAAGGGGGGCAACCCCCGAGUAAAGCGGCGAACGGGUGAGUAACACGUGGGUAAUCUACCUUCGAGUGGGGAACAACAUCGGGAAACUGGUGCUAAAUUCCGCAUGACAUCGUCGGGGCUUCGGUUCCGACGCUCAAAGCUGGGGAUCGUAAGACCUAGCGCUUGAAGAUGAGCCCGCGUCCGAUUAGCUAGUUGGCGGGGAAUAGCCCACCAAGGCUCCGAUCGGUAGCCGGCCUGAGAGGGCGGACGGCACACUGGACUGAGACACGGUCCAGACUCCUACGGGAGGCAGCAGUGGGGAAUUUUUCGCAAU
This 356-nucleotide ribosomal RNA is filed under the name uncultured bacterium. RNAcentral describes it as "bacterial SSU rRNA". It matches the Rfam family "Bacterial small subunit ribosomal RNA", at positions 32 to 372 of the family's 1533-position model. The record is from RNAcentral.